Non-coding RNA from Phthorimaea operculella (potato tuberworm), 72 nucleotides. NCBI's taxonomy places the organism in Eukaryota, Metazoa, Arthropoda, Insecta, Lepidoptera, Gelechiidae. The record is from the annotation of a GenBank genome assembly.
GCGCCCGUAGCUCAGUUGGUAGAGCGGUGGAACGGUGAUCCACAGUCCCGGGUUCAAGUCCCGGCAUUCGCU